AGAGUUUGAUCCUGGCUCAGGAUGAACGCUAGCGGCAGGCCUAAUACAUGCAAGUCGUACGGGAUCCCCUCCCUCGGGAGGGGUGAGAGUGGCGGACGGGUGCGUUACGCGUAUGCAACCAACCCCCGACGGGCGUACAGCCGGUGGAAACGCCGGGUGAUGCGCCAUGCGGCCGGGAGAGGGCAUCCUCUUUCGGCGAAAGCCCUAGGGCGGUCGGGGACGGGCAUGCGUGCCAUUAGCUAGUUGGCGGGGCGACGGCCCACCAAGGCUACGAUGGCUAGGGGGAUCUGAGAGGACGGUCCCCCCACACUGGUACUGAGACACGGCCCAAACUCCUACGGGAGGCAGCAGUGAGGAAUAUUGGACAAUGGCCGGAAGGCUGAUCCAGCCAUGCCGCGUGAAGGAUAAGGUCCUAUGGAUUGUAAACUUCUUUUGAGUGGGAGCAAUAAGGUGUACGUGUACACCGAUGAGAGUACCAUUCGAAUAAGCAUCGGCUAACUCCGUGCC
RNAcentral lists this ribosomal RNA (507 nucleotides) under uncultured organism. Its description in RNAcentral is "SSU rRNA". It matches the Rfam family "Bacterial small subunit ribosomal RNA", at positions 8 to 509 of the family's 1533-position model. The record is from RNAcentral.